CGUAGCUCAGCGGCAGAGCUCCCGACUGUUAAUCGGGCGGUCGUUGGUUCGAAUCCAACC
This 60-nucleotide transfer RNA is filed under the name Arcanobacterium urinimassiliense. It matches the Rfam family "tRNA", at positions 7 to 64 of the family's 71-position model. From Rfam's summary of the family: Transfer RNA (tRNA) molecules are approximately 80 nucleotides in length. Their secondary structure includes four short double-helical elements and three loops (D, anti-codon, and T loops). RNAcentral also lists the same sequence under 1 other name. Lineage: Bacteria; Bacillati; Actinomycetota; Actinomycetes; Actinomycetales; Actinomycetaceae. The record is from RNAcentral.